RNAcentral lists this ribosomal RNA (469 nucleotides) under uncultured bacterium. RNAcentral's name for it is "partial 16S ribosomal RNA". It matches the Rfam family "Bacterial small subunit ribosomal RNA", at positions 28 to 507 of the family's 1533-position model. The record is from RNAcentral.
GACGAACGCUGGCGGCGUGCUUAACACAUGCAAGUCGAACGGAAAGGCCCUGCUUGCAGGGUGCUCGAGUGGCGAACGGGUGAGUAACACGUGGGUGAUCUGCCCCUUACUUUGGGAUAAGCCUUGGAAACUGGGUCUAAUACUGGAUAGGACCAUGCUGUAGGUUGUGUGGUGGAAAGAUUAGUUUCGGUAAGGGAUGAGCUCGCGGCCUAUCAGCUUGUUGGUGGGGUAAUGGCCUACCAAGGCGUCGACGGGUAGCCGGCCUGAGAGGGUGGACGGCCACAUUGGGACUGAGAUACGGACCAGACUCCUACGGGAGGCAGCAGUGGGGAAUAUUGCACAAUGGGAGCAAGCCUGAUGCAGCGACGCAGCGUGGCGGAUGACGGCCUUCGGGUUGUAAACUCCUUUCAGCCAUGACGAAGCCCUUGUGGUGACGGUAGUGGUAGAAGAAGCACCGGCUAACUACGUG